This is a non-coding RNA of Lachancea meyersii CBS 8951, 84 nucleotides long. The record is from the annotation of a GenBank genome assembly. Lineage: Eukaryota; Fungi; Ascomycota; Saccharomycetes; Saccharomycetales; Saccharomycetaceae.
GACAGGUUGGCCGAGUUGGUUAAGGCGACAGACUUAAGAUCUGUUGGACGGUUGUCCGCGCGAGUUCGAACCUCGCAUCUGUCA